RNAcentral lists this ribosomal RNA (253 nucleotides) under uncultured bacterium. RNAcentral describes it as "partial 16S ribosomal RNA". It matches the Rfam family "Bacterial small subunit ribosomal RNA", at positions 524 to 776 of the family's 1533-position model. The record is from RNAcentral.
UACGGGGGGGGCAAGCGUUGUUCGGAAUUACUGGGCGUAAAGGGCGCGUAGGCGGCCUGCUAAGUCGGACGUGAAAUCCCCCGGCUCAACCGGGGAACUGCGUCCGAUACUGGUGGGCUCGAAUCCGGGAGAGGGAUGUGGAAUUCCAGGUGUAGCGGUGAAAUGCGUAGAUAUCAGGAAGAACACCCGUGGCGAAGGCGGCUCUCUGGGACGGUACUGACGCUGAGACGCGAAAGCGUGGGGAGCGAACAGG